This 515-nucleotide ribosomal RNA is filed under the name uncultured bacterium. RNAcentral describes it as "bacterial SSU rRNA". It matches the Rfam family "Bacterial small subunit ribosomal RNA", at positions 798 to 1317 of the family's 1533-position model. The record is from RNAcentral.
CACGGUAAACGAUGGAUGCCCGCUGUUGGCGAUACAGUGUCAGCGGCCAAGCGAAAGCGUUAAGCAUCCCACCUGGGGAGUACGCCGGCAACGGUGAAACUCAAAGGAAUUGACGGGGGCCCGCACAAGCGGAGGAACAUGUGGUUUAAUUCGAUGAUACGCGAGGAACCUUACCCGGGCUUGAACUGCAGCAGAACGAUUCAGAGAUGAUGAGGUCCUUCGGGACUGCUGUGGAGGUGCCGCAUGGUUGUCGUCAGCUCGUGCCGUGAGGUGUCGGCUUAAGUGCCAUAACGAGCGCAACCCUUUUCAUUAGUUGCCAUCAGGUAAUGCUGGGCACUCUGGUGAUACUGCCACCGUAAGGUGUGAGGAAGGUGGGGAUGACGUCAAAUCAGCACGGCCCUUACGUCCGGGGCUACACACGUGUUACAAUGGGGCAUACAGAAGGCCGGUUGCACGCAAGUGCGAUCCAAUCUAUAAAGUGUCCCUCAGUUCGGAUUGGGGUCUGCAACCCGACC